UACGGAGGGUGCAAGCGUUGUCCGGAAUCAUUGGGUGUAAAGGGUGCGUAGGUGGGAGCUUAAGUCUGGGGUGAAAUCUUGCCGCUUAACGGUAAAAUGGCCCUGGAUACUGGGUUUCUUGAGUGUAGAAGAGGUAAGUGGAAUUCAUAGUGUAGCGGUGAAAUGCAUAGAUAUUAUGAAGAACAUCAGUGGCGAAGGCGACUUACUGGUCUACAACUGACACUGAGGCACGAAAGCGUGGGGAGCGAACAGGAUUAGAUACCCUGGUAGUCCACGCCGUAAACGAUGCAUACUAGGUGUUGGCCCUUCGGGGUCAGUACUGCAGUUAACGCAUUAAGUAUGCCACCUGGGGAGUACGUCGGCAACGAUGAA
RNAcentral lists this ribosomal RNA (372 nucleotides) under uncultured bacterium. RNAcentral's name for it is "bacterial SSU rRNA". It matches the Rfam family "Bacterial small subunit ribosomal RNA", at positions 524 to 898 of the family's 1533-position model. The record is from RNAcentral.